CAACUCUGUGAGCACACUAAAAACCACUAAAUCAUGCACUUUAUGAAUGUUGGGUAUGAGCAUUAUAUCUUAAUAAAGAUGCUAUUAAAAUUUUUGCAGAAUUAAAAAUAUAUUAAAUACAAAAAUCUAUACUGUUGUGUGGAUAUGUAUGUUGAAAGCAGACUCUAAUAGAUUUUGAAAGGUAUUUGAUGGACUAUUUAAGAGUGUAUGGAUGAAAUGGAGUGAGAGGAUCUUUGUUUUAUUUUCUUCUUUUGGCUUGUUUAAAUUUUUAAAUUUUUAAAAUCAUAAACCUACAUUACUUUUGUCCUAAUAAAGAAUUUUAAGGCGUCGGGGAUUUAGCUCAGUGGUUCCGGUGCCUGCCUCACAAGUGCAAGGACCAGAGUUCAAUCCCCAGUACCAAAAAAAAAAAAAAUUUUAAGAUAUUCUAAUAAAUCUAAUGAAUGAAUGCCCAGCUCUGCCUAUAAUAGAAUGGUAUGGUCUUAACCUAAGUUGAUGAAAGAAGAUUAAGGAAAAAUGGGAAAGAUAGGUUUUUACAUAAAGUCCAUCCAGAUGCAGGAUUAUUUGAAGAACUAUACUUAACAAAUGGCUAAAAUUCCAAAAUUAUUUUAUUAAUAGGCACAUGUUAAACCAAAGCCUAAAUUUAAAAGGCUGUUUUCUAUUCAGGCCAGUGACUCUUCCACACUGCCAAGUCAUUUUGCUGAGAUGUUCCAAGGACAUCAGAAACCUCUGCACCAGAGCUGACCUUCUGUCGAUUCCAUUCAAGACUUUGUUCUCACAGUUCUUAUGUUUACAACAAGUGUCUUUUCUUGGCUCCCUCAGUGUUCCUAAAUCAGUUCAAAAUGUUUAUAGCAAUUUCUGUCAAAUGAAAACUUUACGGUGUGUCCUUAUCUACUUUAGUCACCAUAUCCAUAAACUUCUGGCUCUUCCCCAAAGUCAAAGGGACCACAAAAGAGAAACAUUUUGCAUCAAUUCAGAACAUCAAGGCAGCCAUAGGACAGUGCAACUAAAGACAUUCAUGACUUAAUUGAAAAAAUGAAAAAGACAUUCAUGAAAGAGGAAUUCCAGAACUACCCCAGAAAGUGGUAAGAGCAAUGAGGAAAUCUGGGCCCCAUCACAUGACUUACUCCAGGAAGUGGGACACAAGCAAGCAUGAUGCGGGCAGAGGUUUCAUAACCUCUUCUCUGAGGCCUCUCUCUCAUCUUUUUCUGUUAGUUUUAAUUUUUGUUUCCUGAUACAGGGUCACAUUAUGUAGUUCAGGCUGGGCUCGAACUCACUAUGUAGCCCAGGCUGGCCUCGAACUAUCGGCGAUCCUCCUCCCUCAGCCUCCUGAGUGUUGGAAUUACAAGUAUGUACCAUCAUGUAUGCCUGGCUCCUUCACCCUUUUGAAACUCAUAUUCCAAGUUGUGAAGAAAUCUAACAACCAUAGGAGCACGGAGUAGGUGUGAUGAUUCAGGUAUGAGGUGCUGCAGAGCUAUUUUUUAUCCCUAUGGGUCCAGGAGGUCUCUGUGUGGGCUCCAGGGCUGAGGGGCUGGCACAGUGGGUUGGGAGUGCCAUCCCAUGCCGCUCCCACUCCCUUGGGUGUCUUGUGAGUCUCCUUGGGAGCUGCUGCCUGAGUGGAAAUGCAUAGUGGUGAAGAAUGUACUGGAUCCCUGGUCCUCGAGGUGAAGCUGGUGGGACCUGUGGAGGCACUGUGGAUGCUGUAUGCACCCCUGGACUUAGUAGUCUCUAGCGAGGUGGAGAUGCCAACACCGUGUGCAGUGCCCUGGAGGCCGUGUUUAUCCAUGGCCUCUGUGCCAAGCACAUGUGCCAAGGCUGGAAGGAAAGUGCCCACCAGAAGCCUCUGUCUCAGCCUGUCUUCUGGCCUUGACUGAAAGCUGUUGCCCACAGGUGAGAUCAGCUGGAGAGGUUUUCCUUAGAGGGGGUGCUUCCAAGUGUGGGACACUUGGCUCUUUCUCUCCAGACACAAUGUGUUCUAGUGAGGGCCACAGAGUUACAGUUAUCAGCGAGGGGCUUAGGUACCGUCCAGUGGACUCAGGAGCUAGACUGCCUGAGUUGUCCAUUCACCACCUUUCUGACCUUGAAAAGUACCCAUCAUUUCUGACCUUGACUCCUUAUUAGUAAAUGAAGAUAUGAAUUCUUCAAACCAAUGAGGAUUAAAUGAGUCAAAAUAUGGAACAUACGUAGAACAAUCUCUUAGGACAUGGGCACAGUAUUGUCAGAAUUCAGCAAAGCCAGAGUAAACUCUGUGUCAACCAAUGGAUGGAGCUAAGAGACAGAUCCCCAAGCUCUGGGUUCUGGAGUUAUGGUAAGCUAAUCUGGAGGUUUGACAAUCACAUUGGGCAAG
RNAcentral lists this long non-coding RNA (2344 nucleotides) under Heterocephalus glaber (naked mole-rat). RNAcentral's name for it is "lncRNA (ENSHGLG00100040081.1)". The record is from RNAcentral. Lineage: Eukaryota; Metazoa; Chordata; Mammalia; Rodentia; Bathyergidae.